RNAcentral lists this unclassified non-coding RNA (203 nucleotides) under Sporobolomyces jilinensis. Its description in RNAcentral is "partial internal transcribed spacer 2". The record is from RNAcentral. Lineage: Eukaryota; Fungi; Basidiomycota; Microbotryomycetes; Sporidiobolales; Sporidiobolaceae.
AUUCUUCAACCCAAUUGUUUAUUAAAAGCAGUUGGUGUUUGGAUUCUGAGCGCUGCUGGCUUCGGCCUAGCUCGUUCGUAAUACAUCAGCAUCCCUAAUACAAGUUUGGAUUGACUUGGCGUAAUAGACUAUUCGCUAAGGAUCAAUGUUCGCAUUGAGCCAACUUACUUAAGGAAGCUUCUAAUUGAAAAGUCUACCUUUAG